AACAAAGAAGUAAAAUUUACAUUUAAUUUCGACUUAAAUUUAGGAAUUUAUUAUUUCCAUGUUU
RNAcentral lists this transfer RNA (64 nucleotides) under Krisna rufimarginata. Its description in RNAcentral is "tRNA-Arg". The record is from RNAcentral. Lineage: Eukaryota; Metazoa; Arthropoda; Insecta; Hemiptera; Cicadellidae.